GCGGGUAGCUCAGUGGUUAGAGCCCUCGGCUUACACCCGAGUGGUCGCGGGUUCGAGUCCCGCCCCGCC
Molecule: transfer RNA, 69 nt
Filed under: bovine gut metagenome
Rfam family: tRNA
About the family: Transfer RNA (tRNA) molecules are approximately 80 nucleotides in length. Their secondary structure includes four short double-helical elements and three loops (D, anti-codon, and T loops).
Source: RNAcentral